Molecule: long non-coding RNA, 738 nt
Filed under: Olea europaea subsp. europaea
Lineage: Eukaryota; Viridiplantae; Streptophyta; Magnoliopsida; Lamiales; Oleaceae
Source: RNAcentral
ACCUGCAGUUGGUUGCUUGUUUCCCCGACCAUAUGGGCCUUUGCCUCCAUUCUAAUUAUUCCUCGGGCACUUGUCAUUGCUAAUGUAAGAGCUCAAAAAUCCCUUUUUUAUAAAAGCUUCGAUUUCCCGCUUUAAGGCCAAAUAGUCUUCCGUUGUAUGCCCUUGAUCUCUCUGGAAAUCACAGUAUUUAGUCGUCACGAGUAUCAGGGGGAGACCGCAAUCGGGGAGGCCACUUCAUUUCUCUCGAGUCCUUGAUUUCCAUCAGGAUGUUGGACCUUGAAGUGUUCAAAUGGGUAAAGGACGUUGAGGUUGGGUCUUUCCUUGGUUUGACCCUAGGUGUAUCUUGUCUCAAGCUGGACUCAUGUGGCCUUUUCUGAUCCAACCUUCCUGAUGAGGAAACUUCCCUUAUUGGGGCCAUGGUUUCUUCCAUAUUGAUGUACUUCUUAGCUCGUGUGAGUAACUCGGUGACUGACUUCGGCGAGGUCUUAGACAAGGACAUCUUGAAUGCUUUGCACUUAAUGGCAUAUGUCAGAGUAGAGAUUGCAGCUGUAAUAUGUAGAUCGGGGAUCUGAAGCCUUCCUUUAUUGAACCUGGUCAUGAAACUGCGUAGUGUUUCAUUGGGUCCUUGACACAUCUGCAUGAGUGAUGCGGCUGUCUUUCUGAUUCGCUUACUGCUCGCAAAGAAAGCGGAGAACUUAUCGAUCAAAUCUGAGAAGGAGGCGAUAGAGUUCGGUUUCA